RNAcentral lists this non-coding RNA (21 nucleotides) under Caenorhabditis elegans. Lineage: Eukaryota; Metazoa; Nematoda; Chromadorea; Rhabditida; Rhabditidae. The record is from RNAcentral.
UCUCAUUGCGAUUUCUUUCUU